UUAGAGGAAGUAAAAGUCGUAACAAGGUUUCCGUAGGUGAACCUGCGGAAGGAUCAUUACUGAACUGUCGACACGAGUUGUUGCUGGUCCUUGAAAGGGGUCACGUGCACGCUCUGUUUACACAUCCACUCACACCUGUGCACCCUUGUAGUUCUAUGGCCUGGGGACUCUGUCCUCUUGCCGUGGUCCUACGUCUUUACACACACACCGUAACAAAGUAUCAUGGAAUGUACGCCGCGUCUGACGCAAUACAAUACAACUUUCAGCAACGGAUCUCUUGGCUCUCGCAUCGAUGAAGAACGCAGCGAAAUGCGAUAAGUAAUGUGAAUUGCAGAAUUCAGUGAAUCAUCGAAUCUUUGAACGCACCUUGCGCCCUUUGGCUAUUCCGAAGGGCAUGCCUGUUUGAGUAUCAUGAACACCUCAACUCUCAUGGUUCGCCAUGAUGAGCUUGGACUUUGGGGGUCUUGCUGGCGUAACUGCCAGCUCCUCUCAAAUGGAUCAGCUUCCCAGUGUUUGGUGGCGUCACAGGUGUGAUAACUAUCUACGCUUGUGGUCCUUCCAUCAGGUUACCUUCAGUAAUGGAGGUUCACUGGAGCUCACAGACGUCUCUCCUCAGGGAGGACAAGCUUCUUAACGUUUGAUCUCAAAUCAGGUAGGACUACCCGCUGAACUUAAGCAUAUCAUAA
Molecule: ribosomal RNA, 686 nt
Filed under: uncultured Tomentella
Lineage: Eukaryota; Fungi; Basidiomycota; Agaricomycetes; Thelephorales; Thelephoraceae
Description: eukaryotic LSU rRNA
Rfam family: 5.8S ribosomal RNA (bases 258-412)
Source: RNAcentral